CUUAGCUACUGGGCAAUGUGUGUGUGUGUGGGGGGUAGUUGUGUGUGAAGUCACAGAUGGGAGGCCUUGCAGAGAGGGACAGAUAUGUCCAAGAGCAUUUUGGCAUGGUGUGAGGGACUUGGACACAUGGAGGAAAUGAGUGUGGAUGGCUGCCUUCUGGUACUGCCUCCUGCACGUCAGUCUGCAUAUUCAACUGUCUUCCUCCUUGUUGGGUGGAGCUACUGAGAAUCCAUACUACAAAUGCCGUCCUGAAAUUUACAUUGUUCCAAGGAAGAGUCACAAGAUUUGUCCCUAACCAGCAUGAAGAGAGUAGAAGCAGUUGGUGUAGUUCUGGAUGCACCGUUUCCUUCCCUUCCUGGUCACACAGCUGGAUCCUGCUUUCCUACUUUCCAAGGUUACGUCCAAGAAAUGAAGUUCUGCCUCUUAGAGUGAGAGAGGAUCAGGGUAGAGAGGUCUUCCCAUAAGGUCCGAUGCUGAAGGAGCAGUGUUCCAAGAGUCUAAGUGGGGAAGGCACAAACAGAAAAGUGACUGUCUAGAGCAGAUCCUUCUGUGGACCCAAGCAAAGCAAACUUACUGUGGCUGUCUGAUGAGAUGUUAGAAUUGCUCAUUUCAGCAGGGAGUCCACAUUGACUGACAGACCUCAUCCUCUUUUGGGGGAGGAUUUGGUCUUUACCCCUGAGUCCUUUCAGUUAACUUAAGGGCUUAACUACUAGCUCCCACUUGCUGUGUCUCUAUUCAGCACUGACAGCGUGAAUAUCAGCAGGGAGUUAAAUACUCUCCGUCACUUUUACAAGUUCCAGUUGCUUUAGAAUGGAUAUGUUGGAAGGACUAAGAGAAGAUUGCAUUUAAUGGAGUGGCCAAUGAUCAAGACCCAAGACCUGGAAACAAAAGUGAAAGAGACCCUACUACCUAUUGCAUCAAGUUCUCUGUAUCCUUAAAAUUCGGGAUCACGUAACUUAUCUCAAAGUUCAAGUUCUUGAGGUGCAAAUGCCAUUGGUAGCCCCCUGGGCUUUCAGCUUUUAGUGGGCAAGGAUCUCAUGUCUCACCACUGCCUUUUAGUCCUUCAGUAGACUCUAGCAUGAAGAAGGCCAUGCUGCACAGUGGUUAGGAAUCCCAAAUCAGGUAGACCUGUACUGAGUCUGCUGCUCCAUAUCACCACCCGGACGACCAUGAGCAUGUUUCUCAACUUCUUCUGGCCCAGUUUUCCUUAUCUAUAAUAUUCCACAGUGAUAGGACUGAUGUCACAAUUGGCUAGAAGGACAGCAUGAAGACACUGGGUGUCCCCAUGUCACAUCUCGGUAUGGUACCUAUAUGCAGUAGCUGCACAAAUGUUAGCUGUUAUAAUUAGACACUGAGUAAAUGCCCUCUGAAUUGCUACUGAACUGGACGGCCAGAUCCUGUUCAAAAUCAAACAUACAAACAAACUGAAAUGACUCCGAGAUCUAA
Non-coding RNA from Rattus norvegicus (Norway rat), 1446 nucleotides. The record is from RefSeq and is a predicted model, not a curated record. NCBI's taxonomy places the organism in Eukaryota, Metazoa, Chordata, Mammalia, Rodentia, Muridae.